Molecule: ribosomal RNA, 402 nt
Filed under: uncultured Roseomonas sp.
Lineage: Bacteria; Pseudomonadati; Pseudomonadota; Alphaproteobacteria; Acetobacterales; Roseomonadaceae
Description: bacterial SSU rRNA
Rfam family: Bacterial small subunit ribosomal RNA
Source: RNAcentral
AGUGGGGAAUAUUGGACAAUGGGCGAAAGCCUGAUCCAGCAAUGCCGCGUGUGUGAAGAAGGUCUUCGGAUCGUAAAGCACUUUCGGCGGGGACGAUGAUGACGGUACCCGCAGAAGAAGCCCCGGCUAACUUCGUGCCAGCAGCCGCGGUAAUACGAAGGGGGCUAGCGUUGCUCGGAAUUACUGGGCGUAAAGGGCGCGUAGGCGGCUUAGCCAGUCAGGCGUGAAAUUCCUGGGCUUAACCUGGGGACUGCGCUUGAUACUGCGGGGCUUGAGGCCGAGAGAGGGUGGUGGAAUUCCCAGUGUAGAGGUGAAAUUCGUAGAUAUUGGGAAGAACACCGGUGGCGAAGGCGACCACCUGGCUCGGUACUGACGCUGAGGCGCGACAGCGUGGGGAGCAAA